UACGUAGGGUCCGAGCGUUGUCCGGAAUUAUUGGGCGUAAAGAGCUCGUAGGCGGUUUGUCGCGUCUGCUGUGAAAUCCCGAGGCUCAACCUCGGGCCUGCAGUGGGUACGGGCAGACUGGAGUGCGGUAGGGGAGAAUGGAAUUCCUGGUGUAGCGGUGGAAUGCGCAGAUAUCAGGAGGAACACCGAUGGCGAAGGCAGCUCGCUGGGACGUGACUGACGCUGAGACGCGAAAGCGUGGGGAGCAAACAGG
This 253-nucleotide ribosomal RNA is filed under the name uncultured bacterium. RNAcentral's name for it is "partial 16S ribosomal RNA". It matches the Rfam family "Bacterial small subunit ribosomal RNA", at positions 524 to 776 of the family's 1533-position model. The record is from RNAcentral.